GGAGGGGAGGGGAGGCCGUCGCCGCUGGCUCCGCCCACCGCGUGGUCCAAGGACCACCACCCGCCACCGCCGCGCGAGCGUACUAUUGCGGCCGCCCUCUGCUGCGCCUGAAGAGAGAGGCGACUCUACAAGCCUCACAGCAUGCACUGUUACUAAAAAGACGAUGCGUCCUCCUGGACCUGAGAUCUGUGUGAUCGUGGGAAAGCGACGAAAAACGAACAAAGGAACAGUAAAUGGAGUAACUUGGCUAGAAUAUGGCAGUAACUACAAGGCAUGUUCUGCUCUGGCACGAAGCCCCUGUUCCUUCCAGACAACCCACCUGAGGCACCAGACACAUGAGUGAAGCCAUCUUGGACAUCCCAGUCACAGCCAAACUCACUCCUGAGUGCAUCUGCAUGAUGAACCCAGCAAUCCCCACCAUGGAGCAAAGGAUCCAUCCAGUCAACCCAAAGAAUCGUGAAAAAUAAUAAAUUGUUGUUUUAAAGUUCUUCAGUUUGGGAAUAGCUUGUUAUGCAACAAUACAUAAUUAAUACACUGGUCUCCCACUUUCAAGUUUGAUUAACUUUCAGCUAUUUUUCACAUAGCAGGCAGAGUGAUUCCAUUAAAACAUAUAUCAGAUAAUGUCACUGCACUAAGUAAACUCUACAAGGACUCUCAUCUCCCUCAGAGUAAAGGUCACAGUUGUUACAAGGCCCUACGUAAUGUGGCCCUCACCACCACUCCAUUACCUUUUUCUUAUCUACUAUUUGCUAACUUUGCUUUGUCCUCUUUUCUGUUCUGAAACAGGCUAGGCAUGGUCCUGCCUCAAGGCCUUUGCACCACCUACUCUGUCUGCUUGGAUUGUUCUUCCCACAGAUUUCUUGCUCCCUUCUUCCUUCAUGAAGAAAUGUCAUGAAAUGUCCUUCCUUCAUGAAAUGUCACCUUCUCAUUUGAGGCCUUCUGUAGUACCCCAAAGAAUGGUCCCCAAAGAUGUCCACAUCCUUAUGCCCAGAACCUGUGAAUGUGUUAUCUUAAUGGCAAAAGUGACUUUGCAAAUGUGAUUAUAUUUAAGGAUCUUAAGGAGGAGAUUAUCCUGGAUUAUCCAGGAGGGCCCAAUGUAAUCACAAGGGCCCUUAUAAGUGAAAGGGGGAGGCAACAGAGAGAAGGAGAUGUCAUAAUGAAAACAGAUCCAAGUGAUGAGAUUGCUGGCUGGGGUGGAGGUGGAGGGGGGUACAAUCCAAGGAAUGCAAGAAGCCUCUAAAAGCUAGGAAAUGUCAGGACACAAAUUCUCCCCUAGAACCUGAGGAAGAAACCCAGGUUUAUGGACACUGAUUUUAACCCAAUAAGUCCCUUUUCUGACUGCUGACCUCCAAAACUGUAAGAUAAUAAAUUUGUGUUAUUUUAAGCCAACUGAGUUUGAGAUAAUUUAGUUAUGGCAGCAAUAGGAAACUAGCACACCUUCCUAGCCAUCCUAUCUAAAAUGGCAACCCAUGUCCUUCCUGGCACUUCCUAUCUCCCUUCCAUGUUUUUUUUAAAUCAUAUAUACAAUAUAUUUUACUGUUUUACCUAUUGUCUUUUCCACCAGAAAGUAAACUCCACGUAAAUAAGGAUUGUCUGUUUUAUUCUUUGCAGUAUCUCCACUGCCUAGGAUAGCAUCUGCACAUACUGCACACUCAGUACACAUUUGUCGAAUGAGGUCAGGCGCGGUGGUUCACACCUGUAAUCCCAGCACUUUGGGAGGCCAAGGCGGGUGGAUCACCUUAGGUUAGGAGUUCGAGACCAGCCUGGCCAACAUGGUGAAACCAUGUCUCUACUAAAAAUACAAAAAGUAGUUGGGCAUGGUGGCAUGUGCCUGUAAUCCCAGCUACUUGGGAGGCUGUGGCAGGAGAGUCACUUGAAUCUGGGAGGUGGAGGUUGCAGUGAGCCAAGAUUGUGCCACUCCACUCCAGCCUGGGCAACAGAGUAAGACUCUGGCUCAAAAAAAAAAAAAAAGAAAGAAAGAAAAAAAUACAUAUUUGUUGAAUGAACAAGUGAAUGAACAAAUGUUAUGCAAAUAUAUUAUCCCUAUCUGUAGCUUGCCUUUUAAUUUUGUUAUAGUAACUUUGGUUGAAAGGAAGUUCUAAAAUCUUUAAUAUAAUCAAAUGUAUCAAUCUUUUCAACUUGUAUAUUUUAUGCCUUGUUUAAUCAACUCUGUCUUAUAUCAAAAUUAUAAAAGUAUUACCCUGUAUUUUCUUAUAAAAGUUUUGAAUCUUUUCUUUUUCCACUUAGAUCAUUAAUCAACUUGGAAUUGGUGUUACAUAGUGGUAAAUGAUUGUCCCAGGACCACAUAUUGAAUAUUUUAUCAUUUCUCCACUGAUUUGUAACAACACAGUGGUUAUAUAUCCUGUUUAUACAUGGGUCUGUCUCUAGGUUUCCGGUUCUGUUCCAGUGGUCUGUUUGCUUACCCUUCUACUAAUAGCACAUUGGCCUAAUUACUAUAACUUUAUAAUGUGGCUCAAUCUCUGGAAAACCACAUACCUCUCCCCUCCUCUUUCUACAAUAUUCUUAUAUUUUGCAACUGGCCUUUACUGUUUUGUAUUAUUUUUAACAAUACCUUAUAUACCCACAUAUAUUAGAUGCUCUUAGCAUCACUAUUUAUAGCAUCUAAAAAUUGGAAAUUAUUUAAAUGUCCACCAAUACAUUAGUUAAAUAAAUUAGGUUAUACUCACAUAGUGGAAUACGAUACUGGCUUUCAAAAGAAUGAGGUAAAUUUACAUAUCUACAUUAAAAGGUAUUCAAGAUAUCAGAAAAAAGGGCAAGUUGCAAAACAAUAUUUAGAGUAAGAACCUAUUCAUGAAUUUUUUUAAUGUAAUUUGUGUUACAUGUAGAAAAAAAUAUGGGCAAGAAUACAUCAAAAUGUUAACAGUGGUUAUAUCUGAGGAUCAGGAAUAGGAAGAACAUUCGCUUUCUAAGGUAUGUAUUCCUAUAAUUCAUGGAUAUGACAAUAACCAAGUAUUACUUUUACAAUAGAAUAUAUAGGUUUUAACUUUGGUUAAAGCAAAUAUAUCUUUUUUUUUUUUUUUUUUGAGAUGGAGUCUCGCUCUGUUGCCCAGGCUGGAGUGCAGUGGUGUGAUCUCAGCUCACUGCAAGCUCUGCCUCCCAGGUUCAGGCCAUUCUCCUGCCUCAGCCUCCCGUGUAGCUGGGACUACAGGCGCCCACCACCACGCCCGGCUAAUUUUUUGUAUUUUUUAGUAGAGACAGGGUUUCACCGUGUUAGCCAGGAUGGUCUCGAUCUCCUGACCUUGUGAUCUGCCCGCCUCGGCCUCCCAAAGUGCUGGGAUUACAGGUGUGAGUCACUGCCCCCGGCUGCAAAUAUAUCUUAAUGUUAAAUGUGUAUUUUUCUGAUGAUAAAAUUAUGAGAAAUGUUAUUUUCAUUUUUGUUUUCCAAAUUGUUUACAAUAAGUAUACAUUAUAAUAAAGGUGGAAGCAUUAUUUAGAAAAAUAUUAACAAUGUUUUUUAAUAUUGGGGUAUGGUGAUAUUUUUCCUUCCUCUCUAUAGAGCUCGAGUUUUCCAUGACAAAUUUAUUGCUUAAUAUGCAAGUCUGCUUAGC
RNAcentral lists this long non-coding RNA (3569 nucleotides) under Homo sapiens (human). RNAcentral's name for it is "HSALNT0298987". Lineage: Eukaryota; Metazoa; Chordata; Mammalia; Primates; Hominidae. The record is from RNAcentral.